Molecule: ribosomal RNA, 899 nt
Filed under: Colletotrichum lentis
Lineage: Eukaryota; Fungi; Ascomycota; Sordariomycetes; Glomerellales; Glomerellaceae
Description: LSU rRNA
Rfam family: Eukaryotic large subunit ribosomal RNA
Source: RNAcentral
UAAGCAUAUCAAUAAGCGGAGGAAAAGAAACCAACAGGGAUUGCCUCAGUAACGGCGAGUGAAGCGGCAACAGCUCAAAUUUGAAAUCUGGCCCUAGGCCCGAGUUGUAAUUUGCAGAGGAUGCUUUUGGUGCGGUGCCUUCCAAGUUCCCUAGAACGGGACGCCAGAGAGGGUGAGAGCCCCGUACAGUUGGACACCAAGCCUUUGUAAAGCUCCUUCGACGAGUCGAGUAGUUUGGGAAUGCUGCUCAAAAUGGGAGGUAUAUUUCUUCUAAAGCUAAAUACCGGCCAGAGACCGAUAGCGCACAAGUAGAGUGAUCGAAAGAUGAAAAGCACUUUGAAAAGAGGGUUAAACAGCACGUGAAAUUGUUAAAAGGGAAGCGCUUGUGACCAGACUUGCGUCCGGUGAAUCACCCAGCUCUCGCGGCUGGGGCACUUCGCCGGCUCAGGCCAGCAUCAGCUCGCUGUCGGGGACAAAAGCUUCAGGAACGUAGCUCUCUUCGGGGAGUGUUAUAGCCUGUUGCAUAAUACCCUUCGGCGGGCUGAGGUACGCGCUCCGCAAGGAUGCUGGCAUAAUGGUCAUCAGCGACCCGUCUUGAAACACGGACCAAGGAGUCAACCUUAUGUGCGAGUGUUCGGGUGUCAAACCCCUACGCGUAAUGAAAGUGAACGCAGGUGAGAGCUUCGGCGCAUCAUCGACCGAUCCUGAUGUUCUCGGAUGGAUUUGAGUAAGAGCAUAUAGGGUUGGACCCGAAAGAAGGUGAACUAUGCGUGUAUAGGGUGAAGCCAGAGGAAACUCUGGUGGAGGCUCGCAGCGGUUCUGACGUGCAAAUCGAUCGUCAAAUAUGCGCAUGGGGGCGAAAGACUAAUCGAACCUUCUAGUAGCUGGUUUCCGCCGAA